Molecule: ribosomal RNA, 253 nt
Filed under: uncultured bacterium
Lineage: Bacteria
Description: partial 16S ribosomal RNA
Rfam family: Bacterial small subunit ribosomal RNA
Source: RNAcentral
UACGAAGGGUGCAAACGUUGCUCGGAAUUAUUGGGCGUAAAGCGCACGUAGGCGGCUCUGCAAGUCCCAUGUGAAAGCCCACGGCUUGACCGUGGAAGUGCAUGGGAAACUGCAGAGCUUGAGUACUUAAGAGGAUCGCGGAAUUCCCGGUGUAGAGGUGAAAUUCGUAGAUAUCGGGAGGAACACCAGUGGCGAAGGCGGCGAUCUGGGAAGAUACUGACGCUGAGGUGCGAAAGCGUGGGGAGCAAACAGG